GCCUUCGUAGUGUAGUGGUCAGCACGCUUGGCACGUAUUCAAGAGGACCAUGGUUUGAGUCCCGGUGAGUGCA
Molecule: transfer RNA, 73 nt
Filed under: Stegodyphus mimosarum
Lineage: Eukaryota; Metazoa; Arthropoda; Arachnida; Araneae; Eresidae
Rfam family: tRNA
About the family: Transfer RNA (tRNA) molecules are approximately 80 nucleotides in length.
Source: Rfam by way of RNAcentral